GCUGGAGUGGUCCAAUUGGCAGAGGCGCUUGUUUCAAAAGCAAGUCAUGUGUGGGUUCGACUCCCACCUCCAGCA
RNAcentral lists this transfer RNA (75 nucleotides) under Caldilineaceae bacterium. RNAcentral describes it as "tRNA-Leu". It matches the Rfam family "tRNA". Rfam says of the family: Transfer RNA (tRNA) molecules are approximately 80 nucleotides in length. Their secondary structure includes four short double-helical elements and three loops (D, anti-codon, and T loops). The record is from RNAcentral. Lineage: Bacteria; Bacillati; Chloroflexota; Caldilineae; Caldilineales; Caldilineaceae.